This 220-nucleotide long non-coding RNA is filed under the name Elaeis guineensis (African oil palm). RNAcentral describes it as "long non-coding RNA (EGUI_LNC037796)". Lineage: Eukaryota; Viridiplantae; Streptophyta; Magnoliopsida; Arecales; Arecaceae. The record is from RNAcentral.
ACUCUUGACCCCGAUACCUAUAAUGUGUGGAACCCGUGAUCAGAGAAUCCUAAUUCUCGAUCACUGAGUCUCAAACAUGUAGGAUUCUACAUCAGCCAUCAGAUCAGAUAGGAAUCUCUAAUGUGUGUGACCCUGCAGGUUCGAACCUAAGUCGAUAGCACAGGAAUCAAUUCUUGUACUAAUCGAAGUGAUCAUCUAGCAAUGGUACCCAACGUCCGGA